This is a non-coding RNA of Danio rerio (zebrafish), 74 nucleotides long. The record is from Rfam. NCBI's taxonomy places the organism in Eukaryota, Metazoa, Chordata, Actinopteri, Cypriniformes, Danionidae.
GUCUCUGUGGCGCAAUCGGAUAGUGCGUUCGGCUUUUAACUAAAAGGUUGGUGGUUCAAGCCCACCCAGAGACG